GGGGGUGUACUGGUUUUCGACGGUGAGAGUGAAACGUAAGCAGCAUGUCGAGGAUAAUCGGUUGGCCUCGUUAAUCAUCCGAUAAAACUAAUAAUUGCCGAAGAUUACUCUUUUGCAAUGGCUGCCUAAAUAGCGCAGCCGGUCUGAUACAUGAGCGCACCCGUAGUGUAUCGGGCCCAAUUUAGGGUGCUGGUCGACAUGGGGUCGCACCGACCGUGUCGGCGAGAUCAAUUGGUGCUGGUUAUUUCCUGAGCUUGUCUGCCGGCGCAGGAGAUAACGAGAUCAAAAGACAGACUAAACAUGUAGCGGCUUCCGCAGAUCGCUCAUCGGACAGGGGUUCGACUCCCCUCACCUCCACCA
Molecule: transfer-messenger RNA, 360 nt
Filed under: Chitinivibrionales
Lineage: Bacteria; Pseudomonadati; Fibrobacterota; Chitinivibrionia
Also listed under: 1 other name
Description: WJKA01 sp014728215 Standard tmRNA
Rfam family: transfer-messenger RNA
About the family: Bacterial tmRNA, also known as 10Sa RNA or SsrA, is named for its dual tRNA and mRNA-like properties. Its role is to liberate the mRNA from a stalled ribosome.
Source: RNAcentral